Molecule: long non-coding RNA, 4696 nt
Organism: Pteropus alecto (black flying fox)
Lineage: Eukaryota; Metazoa; Chordata; Mammalia; Chiroptera; Pteropodidae
Exons: 2
Source: RefSeq, a predicted model, not a curated record
ACGCCCGCGUGGGCACCAGGCUGCGCCUGGGGAGGGCUGGCGGGGCAGGGAGGGCGGAGGACACGCCUGGGCCUCCUGCCAUGUCAGCAGCUCUGCAGGGGCCCCGGGUCCUUCCUGAGCUACAGUGCGGUGAAACAGACGCGCAUUUCCAGCGUCGUGGGAAAACUGGACUUCAUCACUUUAUGGUCGUAUACAGAACAGUUUGAUCGCAUAUGCUGUUUCGUAGCUCGUUCUUUGUAGGAGUGUUUUCCUGCUGCUCCCAUAGUCUCAAUAGUCUUUAGGCCAUAAGGAACGUCCGCAUCUAUUCCAUAAUGGGACCUGUCCAGCCCUUCUGUUUAAUCGGCGUUGCCGAACUGCGAGUGUGUGUGUUUCUGUUUUGAAUUUCUAACCCUCCUGGAUGGCGUUCCCCUGCCACUCUGUUUCCUGGCACGAUGCCUUGAAUUCGCUGAGAAUGUUCACUGAGUGAAAAACCCCAGACUGGUAGUUUAAAAAAAGAAUACCAGACAAUUAAAAAUAGGCCAUCAAAUGAAAAAUCCCCCAUUAGCACAACCACAGCGUAUAGAUUUUCUAAAUUUAAGAUUUUCUAAGUUUCCGUUUUUCAAAGUUAAAAACAAAAAUACAGUAAUGCCUCACUUAUCCAUCAAAUGUGGUAUUUCGGGUUAGUGAAUCUUCCAGAUAAUUCAUUGACUCUAUCCAACAUGGAGAAGUAUUUCCUUUGUAAUCAUUUUUGUAGCAGGAGAGUGAGUGUAGGCAGGGUGCCGAACCCCUCUGAGCCUCGAAAUGGGACAGAACAGCCUGCUCGGCGGGCCAUCGUGAGACUUAGCAGAUGAGGAAGGCAGACAUCUAGCACACAGUGGGUGUUCAACAGUGAUAGUUACCUUCCAUCUCUGUUCCCACUCCAGCCCGAGACUGCGUGUAUAUUCUUCUUACCCUAAAAAAUCCUAUUUUGCUGUACUUCUACUUCCCGUUUUAACUUUCUAUAGUUUUAGUAUUUCCUUGUUUACCGUGUCCGUCUGCAGAAGACCUCCUAACAUCUGCUUCUCCUAAUCCUAGGUGAUCAGACCUCCAAAUUUAGUAGAAUUCCAUUUAAAUUAGAGUUAAAAGGACUGAGUCAGAGUCUGAGAUUAUUACCACACGAGUAAAAUUAACUAAUGAAAUAUUCACAUCUGCUAGAAGCAGCAGCACAUAGCGGUCAAGUGCACAGACCUUGAUCAUGACUCCUCCACAGGGAUACCUUGGACAAGUUACUUGACUUCUCUGAGCUUCAUCUUUUCAUCAGUAAAAUGAGCAUAAUAAUAAUAUCUGUUUAAUAAGGUCAUUGUGAGGAUUAAGUGAGAUCAUUCAUGGAAAGAGCCCAGGAUGGUACCUGGCAUGUAAUAAAUACCAAGUAAUUGUUACCUAUUAUCUAUUUCUGUAGCUCAAAGACUUUUUAAAAUUUCUUUUGUGGGGAGGGGGGUGUUUUUAGGAAACGAUCUUCAUAUUUGCAGUAUAUCACCAUAGGACUAUCGACUAAUUCAUUAAACUAUAGUAAAGUCCUAAUGCAUUGUUAUUAUGUAAUUUCUUAUAGAAAAUGUUUCCUUACUGAAAACAUGAAAAUGAAAACAAUUCAGUAUGGUCAGGACGCUGUUAGUAGCUGAUAAAAUUCUAAACACCUAUUUAAAAAGACAAACUUUCCUUUUAUCAUGGUAAUUCAUUUGUGAAAGUUAAGUAGGGCCUUCAAAUGAAGUCAUCUUUGUGUUACCUUUAUAUGGAGUUUGGAGAGUUAGUGUUUGCAUAUUCCAUUUACUGCUACUUAUUUCUCUGCUACAGCCUAGAAAUUCAGUGCAAAUAAUCUUAUGGUGUUUCAGAGCGUAAAUAUAACAGUAUUAGUUUAAUAAAAUGCAUGUAUCAAGUACAUAGAACUUAGAAAAUGCCCUUUUGUUGAGCGAAGCCACAAGCGCUUGUGUUUGUAGCAAAGAUGAAAUGCCAGGAUAGAAACAUGGCUUUCUGUGGUGAGUUAAUGCUCGGGUCUGAAAGUGAGUUUGUGGCUUUCAUUUGGUCCACCAGCCUUUGCUCCUUCCCAUGUUGCUAUGGAGAUUGUAUUAAAAGCAUUGACUUCAGUUUCUACCAUAGUCUUUAAAGGACUUUUUUUGGUAACUGAAAACCAAAUACUUGAAUCUCAGUAGCUUAUUGCUGGAAAUAAAAUCAAUAGUUUUUAUGUGAUAAACUCUAAAAGGUCUUGAUAAUAUUAUUAAAUUUUCUAAUAUAUUUAGUUAAAUUUGCAUUGCUUGUCAUAAAAUAAUACGUUGUAUCAGCCAGUAUCUAAAUUAAUGUGGACAUCUGGCAUUAUUUUAAAUGAACAUAUUGAAUAUUCUUUUAAAAUACCAAGUCCCAUACAAGUGUUAGUUCCAACCUAAAUUUAAUACAGAGUGAGUAAAAAGAAAUUACAGUAUUUUUGCAUAAACAAUAAGUACCCAAACCUUCAAAUAUCAACAGCAGAGAAGAAUGGCUGGUAUAUUCAUGACUUUUGAUCCUUGUAGACAUCACAGAUUUUCAUUCCCCAAACUUACUAUUCUUAUAUGAAAAUGGAGAACAUCAACUUAAAAGAUUAUUUGUUUAGUAUGACAACAUGUCUCCGCCUUUUCCCACACGUAUGUGGUUCUCACAGGUCCUUGCUUUCCCAGGGGGAAAAUCAGGCAACCUAGGGUUUUUCAGGAGCAUUGUAUCAGUCGGCUAGGAUGGCCACAACAAAAUAACCACAAUGCUGGGAACAAACAACAGAAGUCUCUUGUCUCAGAGCCCCGAAGCCUGGGAGUCUGAGAUCCAGGUAUUGGCAGGGUCGGCUCCUUCCGAGGCUGUGAGGGCAGGACUCAUCCCAGGCCUCUCUCCUUGCCUUAUAGAUGGCCAUCUUCCCCGCUCCCCUCUUCCCAUCACCCUCCCUCCGUGUACGCCUGUCUCUGUGUUGAAAUCUCCCCUUUUUGUAAGGACACCGGUGAUACUGCAUUAGGGCCUACCCGAACGACCUCACCCUAACUUAACAAAAUACACCUGCAGUGAUCCUGAUUCCAAAUAGGCCACUGUCAUGUUGCCUCACGUGGCAGUGAGUGUAAGUACAUGCGUGUGUGCACAAGCUCUCCAGCCUUUUCUUAUAAGGGCACUAAUCCCACCGCGAAGGCCCCGUUCUCGUGACCUCGCAUAAACCUCAUCAUCUCCCAAAGGCCUCAUCCCCAAAUCCCAUCACAUCAGAGGGUAGUGAAUCGAAGGGGCAGGGCACACAGUUCACUUCAAAGCAGUCACAUUCUAAGGUACUGGACCUUAGGACUUCAAUAUAUGAAUUUGGGGCAAUACAAUUCAAGCUAUAACGGUCUUCUAAAAAUUCGUGUCCUCACAUGCAAAAUAAAUUCACCUCAUCCAACACCCGCCAAAUCCUAACCCAUUCUAGUAUCAACUCUGAAGUUCAAAAUCUCAUCUUAAAUAUCUUAAAUAUCUAUAUCAGAUCUGGGUAAAACUUGGGCAUAGUUCUUCCUGGGGCAGAAUUCCUUUCUAGCUGUGAACCUGUGAAAGCAGACAGGUUACCUGCUUCCAGUAUAUAACAGUGGAAUCGGCAUUUUCUCCCAUCCUGUAAUUUGCCUUUUCCUGUUGUUGAUUGUUUUCUUUGCUGUUCAGACGCUUUCUGGUUUGACGUAGUCCCACAUAUCUGUUUUUGCUUCUGUUGCUUGUGCUUUUGGUGUCAUAUCUAAGAAAUCACUGCUAAGACCGCCAUCAAGAAGUUUUCCCUCUAUAUUUUCUUCUAGGAGUUUUAUAGUCUCAGGUCUUAUGUUGAAGUCUCAACUUGUUUCUGAGUUGAUAUUUCGUAUGGUGUAGGAUAAAGGUUCAAGUUCAUUCUUUGCAAUGUCGAUUUCUCGUUUUCCCAACACCAUUUGUGGAAGAGACUGUCUUUUUCCCACUGUGUAUUCUUGACUUCCGUGUGGAAGAUCAGUUGCCUAUAUAUGUGUGGGUUCAUUUCUAGGCUCUCUAUUUUGUUCCAUUGGUCUAUAGAUCUGUCUUUAGGCCAGUACCAUACUGCUUUGAUUCAUGUAGCUUUAUAAUAUCUUUUUAAUAUUUUACAAUAUUCUUCAGUUGGUUUAAGCAAAUUAUUAACUAUUUCUUCCUCAUUGUAUCACUCAACAAUUAAGUAUUAACCAUCGGCUGUGGGCCAGACUCUGUACUAAGUGUUGGGGAUUCAGCUAUGACUAAAAUGCCUGAUACUUCUUUUCCCAUAUAUAUCUUACUCCUAAAUUUCUAGGGCCUGGACAGAUCAAGUACAGAAGCAAGUAUGUAAUAUUUAAGCCUCUGGUUCUGCACACGGAAUAAUCCCAUAAGAGACAGUUACUAUUAACAUAAAUGUAACUAGCAGAUGCAAUAUAUUUCUAGAUGAAUCUCCAGUAAGUUAAUACUACACAGACUUGGGAGUUUUAUCAGCUCAGCUCUGUCUAAUAAACACUGUUUGUCUUUUGGCUUGAGUUUCUGUAUGAGUCAAGGAUAUGCUUUUUGUUUCUAAUCAGGAAACACUUUUGCAAAGAAAUAGCACAUUUCUGAUGAUGUUCAUAGGCUCCAAUAUGUGCCAACAAUAUUGUGAUUUAUUUUUUUUAGGAUAGUGGUAUUUCUGUAUUUUAAAAGUAGGCUGAAAUGCUCUUUCUUCUGCCUUGCCUAUAAAUACACUCAGAUUCCGAAGCAA